CAGUAGCCGCGGGAAUACGGAGGGGGCUAGCGUUGUUCGGAAUUAUUGGGCGUAAAGGGCUCGCAGGCGGUUUCUUAAGUCUGAUGUGAAAGCCCCCGGCUCAACCGGGGAGGGUCAUUGGAAACUGGGAAACUUGAGUGCAGAAGAGGAGAGUGGAAUUCCACGUGUAGCGGUGAAAUGCGUAGAGAUGUGGAGGAACACCAGUGGCGAAGGCGACUCUCUGGUCUGUAACUGACGCUGAGGAGCGAAAGCGUGGGGAGCGAACAGGAUUAGAGACCCCGGUAGUCCCUGUCUCUUAAAC
RNAcentral lists this ribosomal RNA (301 nucleotides) under uncultured bacterium. RNAcentral describes it as "partial 16S ribosomal RNA". It matches the Rfam family "Bacterial small subunit ribosomal RNA", at positions 509 to 807 of the family's 1533-position model. The record is from RNAcentral.